AACGAACGCUGGCGGCAGGCCUAACACAUGCAAGUCGAACGCCGUAGCGAUACGGAGUGGCAGACGGGUGAGCAACGCGUGGGAACAUACCCCUCGGUUCGGAAUAACUCAGGGAAACUUGAGCUAAUACCGGAUAAGUCCGAGGUUUUAAUCGACCUUGGAGAAAGAUUUAUCGCCGGAGGAUUGGCCCGCGUCUGAUUAGCUUGUUGGUGAGGUAAUGGCUCACCAAGGCGACGAUCAGUAGCUGGUCUGAGAGGAUGAUCAGCCACAUUGGGACUGAGACACGGCCCAAACUCCUACGGGAGGCAGCAGUGGGGAAUAUUGGACAAUGGGCGAAAGCCCGAUCCAGCCAUGCCGCGUGAGUGAUGAAGGCCUUC
This 377-nucleotide ribosomal RNA is filed under the name uncultured bacterium. RNAcentral describes it as "bacterial SSU rRNA". It matches the Rfam family "Bacterial small subunit ribosomal RNA", at positions 29 to 419 of the family's 1533-position model. The record is from RNAcentral.